UGGGGAAUAUUGGACAAUGGGGGCAACCCUGAUCCAGCCAUGCCGCGUGGGUGAAGAAGUCCUUAGGGUUGUAAAACCCUUUCAGCGGGGAAGAUGAUGACGGUACCCGCAGAAGAAGCCCCGGGUAACUCCGUGCCAGCAGCCGCGGUAAUACGGAGGGUGCAAGCGUUAUCCGGAUUUACUGGGUUUAAAGGGUGCGUAGGCGGCUUUUUAAGUCAGUGGUGAAAGCCUAGACACUUAAUGUCAGAAGUGCCAUUGAUACUGAAGAGCUUGAGUCGAGGAGAGGUAAGCAGAAUUUGUGGUGUAGCAGUGAAAUGCUUAGAUACCAUGAGGAAUACCAACAGCGAAAGCAGCUUACUGGCCUUGUACUGACGCUGAGGCACGAAAGCGUGGGGAGCAAACAGGAUUAGAUACCCGUGUAGUCC
RNAcentral lists this ribosomal RNA (425 nucleotides) under uncultured prokaryote. RNAcentral's name for it is "bacterial SSU rRNA". It matches the Rfam family "Bacterial small subunit ribosomal RNA", at positions 355 to 796 of the family's 1533-position model. The record is from RNAcentral.